AACGGCAGCACGGGAGCAAUCCUGGUGGCGAGUGGCGAACGGGUGAGUAAUGUAUCGGAACGUACCUUUCAGUGGGGGAUAACGUAGCGAAAGUUACGCUAAUACCGCAUAUUCUGUGCGCAGGAAAGCAGGGGAUCGCAAGACCUUGCGCUGAUUGAGCGGCCGAUAUCAGAUUAGCUAGUUGGUGAGGUAAAGGCUCACCAAGGCGACGAUCUGUAGCGGGUCUGAGAGGAUGAUCCGCCACACUGGAACUGAGACACGGUCCAGACUCCUACGGGAGGCAGCAGUGGGGAAUUUUGGACAAUGGGGGCAACCCUGAUCCAGCCAUGCCGCGUGAGUGAAGGAGGCCUUCGGGUUGUAAAGCUCUUUCGGCCGGGAAGAAAUCGCAUGGGUUAAUACCCUGUGCGGAUGACGGUACCGGCAUAAGAAGCACCGGCUAACUACGUGCCAGCAGCCGCGGUAAUACGUAGGGUGCGAGCGUUAAUCGGAAUUACUGGGCGUAAAGCGUGCGCAGGCGGUUUUGUAAGACAGGCGUGAAAUCCCCGGGCUCAACCUGGGAACUGCGCUUGUGACUGCAAGGCUAGAGUA
Molecule: ribosomal RNA, 588 nt
Filed under: uncultured Dechloromonas sp.
Lineage: Bacteria; Pseudomonadati; Pseudomonadota; Betaproteobacteria; Rhodocyclales; Azonexaceae
Description: bacterial SSU rRNA
Rfam family: Bacterial small subunit ribosomal RNA
Source: RNAcentral